UUUCUCGCUGUGAGGACAUCUCAACAGCACUGCGGGGAAUAAAAGAAUCUAAACGAAUGCCCUACUAAAUUCUUUUUUUUUACUUUUAAAUUAAUUAUUACUCAUUCACUAUGACCGUCCUGAUUUUAUUUUAACUGGUAAUUCUGCGCUAUUCAAUGCUAUUUCAAUAAAUAUUAGGAAAUUUAUACUCCAUAUUAAUUUGGAGAGAGAGCGUAAACUUUAAUUUCAAAAUCAGCAAGAUUUGAGUCCGGCGUCUUUUAGUGGGUCUGGACACCCGCCGCGGACGCGGUUCCGAGACCUUGUCUCGAAGCGGCUUCCUCGGCUCAUAUUAAUUUGGAAUAAUCCACCCAUUUCUAGGCCAAUCUCCCACCUUGGGUAGGAGCCCACGCGUCACAGGCUACAACAGCAACAACAACAACGACCACCCGAAGAAGCCGCCCGCAACACCAUGACCACAACGCCACCACGACGGGUAUCAGGUACUUGGGCGACAACGCCACCUUCGGCUUGGGCGACGCUGCAUACAGCUAGAGUUGCAGACGAGAAACGCGGUCGGCGUCCGAGCGCGUGCCACUCAUCCACGCGAAAGGAAAAGGAACAGCAUCCAAUCCAAAGCCUAUCCGUAGCAGAAAGCCUGAGCAGCCCCCUGAGCGACAAAGCGACGUCAUCAUUCGAAGCUAACGAAGAGCUCAAGCAUGUCCCGCAUUGUCCGAAUGGCUCUCUUCUCGCGGAAAUUCACCACCUCGGUCAUCCGCAGGAGCGCCCACGAUGAUCACGACACGUCCGGCAUCGUUGGCUCGAAUCUGCCGUUUAAGACUGACAACCGCUUCGGGCUAACCAUUAAGUUCGCCCUGUUCUUCGGCAUUCCUUUCGCGAUACCUUACUACGCUGUUAGGUUCCAUUUGACAAAGAAGACCGCUUGAAGAUUAUGUUACGCAAGAGCAAGCCCUUGUCUCUGUACCGGACUCUGUUCAAGAGCGCAAGCUAAGCUGUAAGCGUUCAUGUAAAAAAAAUGAACACAAUUUUGUUCUGUGCUA
This is a non-coding RNA of Dermacentor albipictus, 1037 nucleotides long. NCBI's taxonomy places the organism in Eukaryota, Metazoa, Arthropoda, Arachnida, Ixodida, Ixodidae. The record is from RefSeq and is a predicted model, not a curated record.